RNAcentral lists this ribosomal RNA (251 nucleotides) under uncultured prokaryote. RNAcentral's name for it is "partial 16S rRNA". It matches the Rfam family "Bacterial small subunit ribosomal RNA", at positions 525 to 775 of the family's 1533-position model. The record is from RNAcentral.
ACGGAGGGUGCGAGCGUUAUUCGGAAUUACUGGGCGUAAAGCGCGUGCAGGCGGUUUGGCAAGUCUGAUGUGAAAGCCCCGGGCUUAACCUGGGAAGUGCAUUGGAAACUGCCGGACUUGAGUACUGGAGAGGAAGGGGGAAUUCCCGGUGUAGAGGUGAAAUUCGUAGAGAUCGGGAGGAAUACCAGUGGCGAAGGCGCCCUUCUGGACGGUUACUGACGCUGAGACGCGAAAGCGUGGGGAGCAAACAG